Dendrobium catenatum is the source of this 3868-nucleotide long non-coding RNA. RefSeq lists it as uncharacterized. The record is from RefSeq and is a predicted model, not a curated record. The transcript is spliced from 14 exons. Lineage: Eukaryota; Viridiplantae; Streptophyta; Magnoliopsida; Asparagales; Orchidaceae.
UCUUUGAACUUCUAUAUCAUCUUCAAUAAAUAUCAUAGCUUUGAAUUCAGGCUCAUCAAGUGAAAGAUUAGUAAUUUCUAAUAUUCUCAUAUCAUCAAGAGACUCAAAUCCAUCUCAUAAAUGAGAGAACUUUGCUCGCAGCCACGGAAGUAAAUACGACGCAUCUUUUUUUUUUUAUUUCUUUUUGUUUUUCAACGAACACGCGUAUCAGAUACGCGUGUCAUUUUGAAAUUAAAUAGUAUUUUAAUUGGAUACUUCUUUGACGUAUCCAACACGUAUCGGUGGAGUAUCGGAGGUGUAUCCGUGUAUCGGAUACAACACGCCUUCAUAAAUAGGUGUAUCGGUGCAACAUAGGUUGAAAGUGUUUUUGACAUGGCGUUGAAUUUGAUUAAAGUCGGGUACUGGACUGUUAAUUGUAGAUAUUUAGGCGGUUUUUAGGAAAGGUUGAUGUGGUUUCUUUGAAAUAAGAAAGAAUAUUUAGAAUUUUUUAAAUAACAAAAUUCGUUUAUGACCUUUAAAAUUUAGAUUAUUUUUUAAACCACUUCAACUAUUAUUUCUUUCAAAAUUUCAACUGAUAUAAGGAUGCAUAUAUGUAUGCUAAUAUGUUAAUUAUGCCAAAAAUUUCAAACCAAUAAGCACGCAUAUCGAUAACUAAUCCACCUAGUUUAGUAUCCGAAGAUGUCCCUUCUGAUCGAUGCUUGGUCAUCAAGGAUGAGAUCUUACCUUUAUCUUAAUUGAAUUUGAUUCAUUAGCUUAUGAUAUUCCUUACUGGAUUCAUCUGCCUAUCAAACUCUUUCAUACAAAGUCAGAUGUACUAUCAUUUUAUGUAAGUUAUUAGGGAUUUGAUCCUUCUAGCUAAUCACUUUUAAUUAUAAUACUAUCAAAUGUUUGAUCAAUUUAUUGUUGUAAAUUUGCAUCCAAUUGGCAUGACCACUAAAUUUCCUAUUCAAUGCAUUAGCCACCAUAUUGGGCUAUAUUGGAUAUCAACAUCAUAAUCCUUGAUUAAUUCUAAUCAUCUUUGUUGCCUCAAAUUUAAUUCCUUAUUUUAAAAUUUAUUUUAAAUUUUUGUGAUCAGUAAAUAUUUCACACCUCACACUAUAUAAAUAAUAUACUCUAGAUUCUCAAAGCUAACACUAUUGUAGCCAACUCUAGGUCAUGUGCUGAACAAUUCUUUAUCAUUAGUGUUGAUAUUAAGCUCUAUUAAACUAUAACACAAGAUAAUAAUGUAGUUGGGCAGAAGUAUAGGUAUGUAAGAAUAUAAAACUUUUUGGAUCCUUAAAAAACAUAAAAAUAAGAAUAUCCUUAAAAUCUCUAGCAAGGCCAAUACAAGUCACGAAAUAUGGAUUCCUUUUGAGAUAACCUUCAUACAUAACUUUAUUACUCCUUUAUCGUGUUUACUCGUUACAUCAAUUUAAAACUAGCACCCACCUCAAAGGUAAAAUGUUGUAAAAAAAAAUUGAUUUACUCAUUUAAGAGGAAAAAUUGAAUAUAUCUAUACUACUGUAAAUUGUGAAUUUUUAUUCUACCAUUAAGCGAUCCUCAUUAUUAUUUUUUAAUUAAAAUUAAUCUGCACUGUUUGAUUUUGUGACUCUUCAUAUUCCUCUCCCGUCUUCCCAUUUCUUUCUUCGGCUUCGAGUGAGGAAUUUUGAAACCAUUUCUUUUUUCAGCUUCGCAUGAGAAGUUUUGAAAGAGUCCCUAAAAGGGCCUUCUUGGCCUUCUCCUCUCUGAUAGGAAGUCAGGCUUCAAGUCAGGAGUUUUGAUAAAGUCGGUAAAAGGACUUUCUUCUCCUUUUGGAUCAGAGGUUAUGACGGAUUCCUCCUCUCUUGGUGGGAAGGAGAUAACAAACUAAGUUGUUGAAAUCGAAAGUCAUGCCGAGAUUGGAAGGCACGAUGAGAAUUCACUAAGAAGUUAAAUCUUGCUUAAAUCCUACUACCAAACAACAAUAAUUUGUUACAAUUCGGAGAAGAGGUGUUUUGUGUGGAAUUUCUUGGUGUGGUGGUGAUGAUAUCUUCACUCAGGACUGCAACUUCGAUACGAGUAUAUCAGAAAUGGGAAUAAUCGUAAGCCUUGCAACAACCACUUGAUUAUUUAUUUACUUAUUUAUUAGUUCAUGUAAAUUAUGUAAAAAAGCUUGAAGUGUUUUUUUUCCUUGUGUGAAUUAUAUCUUCAGCAAGCGAGAAAGAAGUUUGGACUUCCUGAGAAGCACAACGAUUAUGUGGUGAGAGCUAAGUCAUUCCAUAAUAAAGAAGAGACUCUUCAUAUACUUGGAGAGUAAGUCAUGUCCAGGAACCCAGAUGAGUUAUAUUUCAAGAUGAUAAGUUUGAGAGUGAUUGAUGGAGCACAUAAACCAAAGAGUCAAGCAAAUAAGUAUAGCACGAUGAACCCAUGCUGAUGAGGACUUAAGAUAUUGGAUAUGUCAUUCAAAAACUUUAGACUGAGAAGAAGGUGACUGCUGUGGGGAUCAAUACUGAAUGGGGAUUAUUGAUGGCCAGUAUAUUGGAAGGCAGUGGUGAACAAACUCCAUUAUAGACUCUUCACCGGUCAUACAAAGAAUUUUGAUGGAAGUGUUCAAUUUGUCAAGGGGCACAAGUGUGAAAGAUGCUGUAGAUGGAGCUGUUAAGAUUUUGACUAUUGCGGUGACUAUUAUGGUCGUUGUUGUACCUAAAGGUCUUCCAUUGGCUGUUACAUUGAUAAGAUGAUGGCAAACAAAGCAUUGGUGACUAUUAUGGUUUUUGCUGUACCUAAAGGUCUUCCAUUGGCUGUUACAUUGAUUCUUGCCUACUCAAUGAAGAAGAUGAUGGCAAACAAAGCAUUGAUAUGCUUCUCUUCUUAUCAUUUCACAAGUUGAUAUCCUCCGAAGCUGUAACGUAGCCAUAUGAAAGACUUGGAUCUUGUUAAUCUAGUUACUAAUUAGCAUGUGAAUUAUAAAUAGGUGACUAUUAUGGUUGUUGUUGUACCUAAAGGUCUUCCAUUGGCUGUUACAUUGAUUCUUACCUACUCAAUGAAGAAGAUGAUGGCAGACAAAGCAUUGAUAUGCUUCUCUUCUUAUCAAACUAGAAUCUAUACUUUCAACUUUUAUUAAGUUGCUAUGUUACAGCUUCGGAGGCUAUCAACUUGUGAAACAAUUGGAUCUACCACUACCAUAUGCAACGAUAAAACUGGAAAUCUAACAUUGAAUCAGAUUUUGUGCGUCACCAUGUCCACGUUUCUGCUUUAUAGGAAUUGGAUGGUGGACUCAACACUUAAGUACCGGAAAACUAAUAAAAUUGUCCUUUGUUCAAGAGGUACGGAUCUGCCUUUUACUUUUGGAUUUUGCUACAGGUACAAGACGUUGCUUCCCCAGCUUUGCAGAUGAUAUUAUUCAUGCAAUUCUUUUUGUGAUGAAUAAUCACCGUUCAAGUCUAAUAAAUACAUUUGAAGACGAUGAUUGCUCCAAAAGUCUAAGAAUUCGUCUAAACAAGUAUUCAGAGGUUAUUUUCUUAAUACCUAUCUGAUUGCUAGUUAAGGGAAUGUGGAGAAAAGUUUUCUUUCUUCCAGCUUCAAAUGCCUUGUAAUCACUGCUAGACUAACCAGUUAACUUUUCCGGUUCUCCUCAGUUAGUUUUGUUUUACGUGACACAAAUCCUUGCAGUGUUUAUUGUUCCUAGAAAUAUUUAAUGCAAUACGAUAACUAGCAGAUGAUACUGAUUAGCGUAUUUUUAUAAGUAUUUGUUUACUACUGGAGUCAUGGUUUUUGUGCUUCCCGUGAAAGGUGUAUGCAGCCUUAUCUGUAUCGACCAAAGAGGUUUCCUCUUAUGUUUUAAACCUGUUCGUCAAGUUUAUACUUGAAUCAACUAAACUAUUGCUACCAUGUCAAGUACUAUUCUCAA